AGCGGCGGACGGGUGAGUAACGCGUGGGUAACCUGCCCUGUACACACGGAUAACAUACCGAAGGGUAUGCUAAUACGAGAUAAUAUACUUUUAUCGCAUGGUAGAAGUAUCAAAGCUUUUGCGGUACAGGAUGGACCCGCGUCUGAUUAGCUAGUUGGUAAGGUAACGGCUUACCAAGGCGACGAUCAGUAGCCGACCUGAGAGGGUGAUCGGCCACAUUGGAACUGAGACACGGUCCAAACUCCUACGGGAGGCAGCAGUGGGGAAUAUUGCACAAUGGGCGAUAGCCUGAUGCAGCGACGCCGCGUGAGCGAUGAAGGCCUUCGGGUCGUAAAGCUCUGUCCUCAAGGAAGAUAAUGACGGUACUUGAGGAGGAAGCCCCGGCUAACUACGUGCCAGCAGCCGCGGUAAUACGUAGGGGGCUAGCGUUAUCCGGAAUUACUGGGCGUAAAGGGUGCAUAGGUGGUUUCUUAAGUCAGAGGUGAAAGGCUACGGCUCAACCGUAGUAAGCCUUUGAAACUGGGAAACUUGAGUGCAGGAGAGGAGAGUGGAAUUCCUAGUGUAGCGGUGAAAUGCGUAGAUAUUAGGAGGAACACCAGUUGCGAAGGCAGCUCUCUGGACUGUAACUGACACUGAGGCACGAAAGCGUGGGGAGCAAACAGGAUUAGAUACCCUGGUAGUCCACGCCGUAAACGAUGAGUACUAGCUGU
RNAcentral lists this ribosomal RNA (710 nucleotides) under uncultured bacterium. Its description in RNAcentral is "bacterial SSU rRNA". It matches the Rfam family "Bacterial small subunit ribosomal RNA", at positions 94 to 823 of the family's 1533-position model. The record is from RNAcentral.